UACAAUUCAUUACAUAUUUAACAUAUGUGCUUCACGUGCAUAUUACAGAAUAUAUUGUAAGCACAUUCUAAGUGGACACAAAAUUAUCUCUUAUGUAUUUCUUUUUUCCUCAAAGUUGCAAGGGAACACAACAGUUGUAUCCCUGCAUGCAUGAUAAAAAUAUUUCAUGAGCAAAUGUUCCCCUUAAUCGAUUGACUGAGGGAACACCUGUUUGAUGGCUUUUUAGGGGCAGUCUUCACGCAGAUAUUCAAUGAUAUACUCUGCGCUGUCAUCGUGAAAUAACUCGCGGCGACAGUGUAGUUUCCUUCCAUUUUCUCAAGAGUAUUGUAACUUUGUUAUAUAUUUCCUUAAGAGGAAUAGAAGCGAGUGCAGGGAGAAAUAUAAGAUUAUGACUCGUAAAAGUACGAUUAAUCGCAUAGUAAUGCUUCUGCUACCUUUGUACGGUAUCUGGCCAGGCAGAUCGAUGAUUUUAAUUAUCAGAGUGUUUUGGGUCAUUACAAUAGCAUUCAUCGAAUUUUGUCAUUAUCUUUAUUUUUCAACGCACUUGAAUAUCCAGAAUUUUUUCAACUUGGUGGAUUGCUUGUGUAGCUUUUUGGCGCACGCCAAAGUGCUCAUUAAACUCGUUGCGUUUUGGGUAAAUCAGCGAAAACUCGUGGAAACUUUGACGUUAAUCAUGGACGACUGGAGCGAUUGUGCUAAGAGUGACAUUGGCAUGCGGGUGACGAUGCAUAAGGCAAAAUUAUCGGAUCGUAUCACUAACGCAAUACUUAUUCUUCAUACGAUGUCUAUUUUCGUUUAUUGUCUUGGAGUCAUCAUAGCUGAUGCCGAUGUUACCGAUCAAACGAUUGAAUUGCCUUUCGUCAACAAGUUGACACUCCCUUUCAACAUUAACAUCCAGAAUACAUAUAGACUAAUAUUAAUCGCGGAAUUCGUGCAUAUGAUCUUUUCUAACUGGUUAUUAGGGAUUGUAAAUGCCAUACUUUUAACUUUGGUUUUGCAUAUGGGAGGUCAAGUGGAGAUUCUACAAAGCUGGUUAUCACAGCUUGUGCCCAAAAAGAUUGGAAAUAAAGAAGAAUCAAUUGUCACCUCGACAAAUAAAAUUAUUCGAAAGCAUAACAAAAUUAUACAAUUUUCAGAAAAUAUUGAGAUUUUAUAUACAUACAUCGCGCUGUUGCUAUUUGCAUCGAAUACAAUAUUAAUGUGUUCGAUAGCUUUUCUCAUCGUAACCGCUAUUGGCACUCCUGAUGCUACAGAACAGAUUUUAAAAUCUAUUUUAUUUUUCUGGACUACAAAUCUCGAAGCCUUUAUAUUUUGCUACGCUGGAGAAUAUCUAAGCAAUAAGAGCAGAGCCAUCGAAUUUGCAACAUAUAAUUGUCCAUGGUACAAUUUAAAACCUAAAGAUAUUCGUAUAUUGUUAUUUAUAAUAUUAAGAUCGCAGAAAGAAUUGACACUCACAGCUGGCAAGAUAAUGGAUCUCUCCUUAAAAUCUUUUUCAAGCAUCAUGAACGCUUCAGGAUCCUACCUGUCAGUAAUGUUGGCGAUGCAAUGAACAUCGUAUUCACUUCAGAAGUUUAUAAUCAAUAGUGGUGAAGCACAUAUACAAAGUGAUAUGUAAAUAUGUACUCAGCAGUUACGCUAUCACAUACACAUCGAAUUAGCAAUAUAAGAACAUAUUACAUAUGCACAGAAGGAUACAUAAAUAAGAGAUUGCAUGACUUGUUUUUCCAUUUUUUUUCUUCGCUCUC
Molecule: unclassified non-coding RNA, 1745 nt
Filed under: Camponotus floridanus (Florida carpenter ant)
Lineage: Eukaryota; Metazoa; Arthropoda; Insecta; Hymenoptera; Formicidae
Description: odorant receptor 4, transcript variant X3
Source: RNAcentral